This 487-nucleotide ribosomal RNA is filed under the name uncultured Rhodoferax sp. Its description in RNAcentral is "bacterial SSU rRNA". It matches the Rfam family "Bacterial small subunit ribosomal RNA", at positions 30 to 508 of the family's 1533-position model. Lineage: Bacteria; Pseudomonadati; Pseudomonadota; Betaproteobacteria; Burkholderiales; Comamonadaceae. The record is from RNAcentral.
AUUGAACGCUGGCGGCAUGCCUUACACAUGCAAGUCGAACGGCAGCACGGGAGCAAUCCUGGUGGCGAGUGGCGAACGGGUGAGUAAUAUAUCGGAACGUGCCCAGUCGUGGGGGAUAACGCAGCGAAAGCUGUGCUAAUACCGCAUACGAUCUCUGGAUGAAAGCGGGGGACUCGCAAGGGCCUCGCGCGAUUGGAGCGGCCGAUAUCAGAUUAGCUAGUUGGUGGGGUAAAGGCUCACCAAGGCGACGAUCUGUAGCUGGUCUGAGAGGACGACCAGCCACACUGGAACUGAGACACGGUCCAGACUCCUACGGGAGGCAGCAGUGGGGAAUUUUGGACAAUGGGCGCAAGCCUGAUCCAGCAAUGCCGCGUGCAGGAUGAAGGCCUUAGGGUUGUAAACUGCUUUUGUACGGAGCGAAACGACUCUCUCUAAUAAAGGGGGUUAAUGACGGUACCGUAAGAAUAAGCACCGGCUAACUACGUGC